UCCUUUAUAGCUUGGUAGGUAAAGAACCUGCCUGCAAUGCAGGAGACUUGGGUUUAAUUCCUGGGUCAGGAA
Molecule: transfer RNA, 72 nt
Filed under: Bos taurus (domestic cattle)
Lineage: Eukaryota; Metazoa; Chordata; Mammalia; Artiodactyla; Bovidae
Also listed under: 5 other names
Rfam family: tRNA
About the family: Transfer RNA (tRNA) molecules are approximately 80 nucleotides in length. Their secondary structure includes four short double-helical elements and three loops (D, anti-codon, and T loops).
Source: Rfam by way of RNAcentral